This 45-nucleotide non-coding RNA is filed under the name Schistosoma mansoni. The record is from RNAcentral. Lineage: Eukaryota; Metazoa; Platyhelminthes; Trematoda; Strigeidida; Schistosomatidae.
GUCUAGCUGAUCAGUACCAAACGGGACGAAACGCGCGUCCUGGAC